CGAAAUUGAUUGGUUAAUCAUACAUUCUGAUUUCAAUUUUUACUUAAUUAAUUUCCCAUAUUUCAUGUUAAUUUGGAAACCAAUUUACAACAAAACUCAACUCUUCGCUUUCCAUUCUCUUUGUUUCUUGGAUAUUUUCACUCUUUCUGGGUAUUCGAUAAAUUUUUAAAAUUUCUCUUUUGGGUAUGUUUUUGUUGAAAUAUUUGAUCAAGAAACUAUAUCGAUCAUUCAUUUUUUGGGUAAUUUAAUGGUUGUUUUUUGCUUUAUAUUUGGGUGGUGCUUGAAUUUAUUGUUUAUACAAGAAAAAUAGAAUGAUCCAGCAAUAUGGAAGUCAAAGUGCUAGCUCGAGCUCGCAUUCGAAUAGCAGUUCGCAGGAUACAGAGGAUGAUCAUACAAUUGCAGAAAUAUUAGCAGAAGAAGAAAGAUUAAAUUAUGAUGGCAGACUUGGCAAGAGGCUUUCUCAUUUGGAUUCGAUCCCGGUAUUUUAAUAUAUUAUCAUCAAUUCCUCAAAUUUCUCCCUUAUUGAAUCCUAAUAAUGAAAUUAUUGUUAAAUAAAUGGAGAUCAUGAACUUGAAUAUGUUGUCCGUAUGCUCCUUAAGUAGUCUUUCUUGAUUAUCAUUCUCUUGUCUUGUGGUUGAUGAUUUUUCUAAUUUGUUUACUUUCUGCAAAACGUUCAAGAAUUUGCAUAUUGCUUAACUAGGAAUAUGGAAUGUACUGCAGUUUAUUAUGUCGAAACUUGCAAGAAUCUGCCUAUUGUUUAACGAGGAUUCUGAAUCAUACUGCAUUUUAUACUGUUAAAAUAACAUAUAAUGAGUGCGCCGAAUGAGGAAAACUCAAUACUGCUAAGCAAUUUGUGUUGGGCGAUUUUGGCUAUACAUAAGCUUACAAAUUCACGGAAUUUUUCAGCAUACGCCUUGGGUAAUUGGUGAUACACCUGAUCCAAAUGAUGCACCCUUAUACCAUGGGAGGCUUGCUGAGAGGUUAUAAUUUUUUUCUUUAAUCUCGUUUUUGUUUUACAUUCUGUAAUUUUUUCUUGUACUUGUUACUCUUUAUUAUUUUAGGAUAUAUUUUAAGGACAUUUAUGGAGAGAGAAAUUGAAAAUAUUCCCAAUGUUUAUAAUUCUUUCAAUUGUCUCUUUUUUUCGAAAAUCCUAAAAUAGUUUUUUCCUUCUCCUCCUCCUCAUUCUUCUUCUCCACUACUUGUACUCCUAUUCUCCCAGUUUUAAAAUAAGAGCAUCUGAUGACUGGCUUACAUUCUUUGUUCUUUUGCUUAUGGAAACAAGAUACUGAAAAAAAGAAAACAAACAAUAAAGUAAGUAGGAGAAAAAGAAAGAAUUGAUACCAGGAAUAAUAGAAUAAAUGGGAAGAAGGUAGGAACAAUUAUUGCAAUUUUUUGUUUACGAAAGAAAAAUUUUCCCAAUUGAUUGUUGUAGGGACUAUACUGAAUUAUUUAGAAAUAAUUAUAGAGAGUUGUUGCAGUAAUUAAGGAUAUAAUGGGAUGCAAAAGGGUGUGGGAUGGAAGAGGAAUUUUUUACAAUGAGAAGUAUGCUUUGAAUUUUACGAACUUGAGUUUGGAGAGUUGAUGGUCAGUUUUGAAGAAUUCCUCUUACUAUUUCUAUCCUGUCAGGAUUUCGAUAAAACUAUAAAAUAUUUUGGCAUAUUACUAAAUAUAGUUAAAUAGAUUCAAGAAGCCUUUAUUAUUUUUUCAGCUUCGGUAGCCAUAUGAGUUUUGAAGUUGUUGCAAUAAUGGUUUAAUGGGUCCUUCUUCACCAUUUUUCUUUGAGAACUUCUUGACUAUAUAUAAAAUGCACGUUUUUUCUUUUAGUCUUUUGCAUGUUUGCUUUGAUGAGUCCUUUUUCAACAUUAUUCUUCUUCGAGAGCAUCUUUUCUAUAUCUGAUAUGAAUAUGUCUUUUCGUUUUAUUUUUUGGCAUGUCUGUUCACUAUUGCCUGUAGAGGAUGGAGGGGUUUUUUUUAAACCUGGUCAUAUGGAUGUGCAGGAUUGUGAUAUUACUGUUUGAUCGUUCGAACGUUCCAUAUUUUUGUUAAUGGAUACUUCUUUCUUGAAAGGCUUUCCUUAACAUAGCUGUCAUUCAGGUUGACAACAUAGGGGUUAGCUGAAUUACAAAUCCAGGGAGAUGGGAAUUGCCAGGUUUGUCUCUCUUGACUAGUCUAAUUAUUGUUAAAUUGUCUAAUUGUACCGAGGAGUUUAUGGAAAUAGUAUCUAGUUAUGCCAAUAUUGUUACCAGUAUUUUUGAUGGAAAGCAGCAAGGAUAAAUUGAAAAUGUUACCAUGCUUCGGGUUGUUUUGUUCAAUUUAUAUCAGUUUACUGUUACUUUUUUGCAUGUUCGGCUAAGCUUGAAAAUAAGUGAAAAGUACUUUUCAUUAACUUAUUGUUUCCAACCAUAACAGUUAAAGGAAUUAUUUAUUUAAAACUUAUUUACUUAUAACUUUUUAAGCUUAGUCAAUCGUGCUCUUUGUUAUGCAAUUUCAAAUUUAUCUUAAGUUACCCUUAUUUGGGACCUUGGUGAGGUAUAUACCUGCAAGGCCAUUCUACAGUUUUGUUGCUGCCAAUGAGUGACAAUCAAAUCUAUUUGACUUACUUGACAGUUUCGAGCCCUCGCAGAUCAGUUGUUAAAAAAUCCCGAUUACCAUAAGCAUGUAAGAAAGCAGGUCAUCAAAUAGGUGUACUUCAGAUAACUUCUCAUGCAUUGACUUAUUCCAAUCCUAAUCUUAGUGUAGUGAUUGAUGAGGAUGCUAAAUAAAAAACUUAAAUUAACUUAAUUAAAUUACUGUGUUCCCACUCACAUUUUCUGUAAAAAAAAGGAAAAAUUUCUAAUUAGCUAUUCAACCUUGACAUAUAUCAUGUUAUUCAAAUCCUAGUUCAACCUCGGUUGAACCUUUACCUUUUGCAGUCAAUGCUUAGGUAGGUUUAAAAAAACAUUCAUCUUCUAGUAUUAUUUUGACAAGUGGGUGCUUUUUUUCACUUUUGCACGUUAUUUGUCAUGCACUAGCUACAUAUUAAGGUUUCACCAUACAAAUUGUGUCUAAACCUUGUAUUAUCAAGACUGCUGUUAACAUUCCUGAAGACCAUCUUUUAGUUCAGAGUCAAAUACAUCAAGAAAACUGAAUAGCUAAACUCCAUCAUCUCUCAAAAAUAUUAUAAUUUACUGUAAUAAUAAUUGCCUGAAGAAUUAAAGCAGCUCCAAAAAUAGAAUUUUCAAAUUUGAUGCUCAAUUCAGAUACUUGAGCUAUAGAUUAGCAGACCAAAAUAAUUGAAAAUUAACUGAUUUUUUGAAUGCUUUAAAGAUUUUCAAAAUGAACAUGUUUUCAUUUGGUGUGGAGUUCAAGGACUUGUACUUUCUCAGUCAUGGGUCGGGACACCUCAAACUAAUAAACAAUUUCCUAAAAGAAAUUCUUCAUCUCAUUAUUCUAACUAUACUUGUGAUAUCGUAGCUUAUUCUGGUUUUUUUUUUCAUAUUUUUUAAGUUAAAAAACACAUGACCUCUCAUCACUUUACUUUGCAUGUCAAAGAAUAUAAAUUCAAACUAGAGAUUCAAUAAUCUCGUAACCAACAUUAUCUCUCACUCAGUCAUUAUUCAGAUUGUUCCGAAUCUUCUGAGGUAAUAUAGGUUUGUCCAAUAAUGUAAGAGUUCAAUGACAUGUGUAGCUAAAUUUAGAAGAAAUAGCAACUAUGCAAAUCUUGGAAGCUACCGUUAUCCAUAUUCAAGUGUCUUAUUGAAACUAGUUUUUAUGAUGUACAAUAUAACACUUAACACAUGUUAACAUAUGACACAAGAUUAUGGAUUGGUUCAGACGAGAUAGGUAUGGUUAGACAAUAAGCUUUUGAAAACAAGUUUUGUGGUAUGAAAAUGCAUUCAAUAUUCUUAUUUCUUCCCUGUCCAUAUCAUAUCAGUUUGUAAAAUUUCAUACGUUCAAAGUGCAGUUUGUAAUUUGACAAUGAUAAUUAUCACUUGAUUUUCCAAGAUAUUUAGAUGGUCUUCUGAAGAGGUUCUCUUCCCCCACCCCAACUUCAUGACCUGCGAAAUCCAGUGAUUUCUAAGUAACAAAGCUAAUAACCUUUGUUACCUGUCAUUUCACCUGUGGUGCCAAAUUCAGAAUUUUUAUCUUUCAACAACUCAUCACCAUGACCCGACACAGUAGAAUUUUAAGCAUAUUGACAUUUGAAAUUUUAUCCUUUCGAUCAGAUCAGUGAUCUUCGCUCGUAACAUACCAUAAUAAUUUCCAAUAACGGGUUUCUCUUGGUUAGUGUCUCAGCAUUACUAAUAUUUUCCAUUUACAACUGUUUCUUAAAUUUUUUCCUUAGAUUAUGAUCUCAGAUGUACUUGCAUUAUGCAUCGCUUCUGAAAUUGCAUCUUCUUUUUCUCAUUUUAGUUUCUUGAUUUCCUUUCAGUUAAAACGUCACAAAAAGCUCUAUGAAGGUUAUGUCCCCAUGAAGUACAAAAGCUACACGAAGAAGAUGAAAAAUUCAGAUACCUAGACUUUGGGUAACAGUUUUCUCCUCAUUUGACGGGGUAAUUUUCAUUGACAUGAUUUUAAUUUCAUCAGGCUGGGGGAGUGGGAGAUCACGUUAUUCUACAAGCAGCUGCAGACCAAGUAAGUUAAAAAUUUUGAUCAUAAAUAUUCUAAUGCUCAAAGCUCAAAGUAUCUCUUUUUCCUCAUACUUUAUUGCAACUUAGUAUGUUCAUGUUAGUAGAUACAAAUAGGUUUCAUAAGAGUGAUACGGUCUCAGUAGAACAUGUUAGAGGGAGAUGUAGAUUGUUUAAGGAUUUUAACUUUUUUUGGAUUUUCCAGUAGUUCUAGCUAUGUAUUGAACGGAGCGGCGAAAAAGGAUGUAGUCAACUCAAAUCUAUUGGGAAUAAGGCUUAGUUUGUUGUUAUCUGUAUAUUGUUCAUCUCACUUGGAAUAUAUAAGGAAUGUCCUGUCUGUUUUUAAGGAUGUAAAUUAGGAAAGACAAGCCAAGCUGAGUGCUAGGGUGUCCAAUGUUUUGAUUUCUUAUCAAAUUAAAUAUUUUUUUUUAACCUUGGUUUAUUUAUAACAAGCCAAUUAGAGGCAAGCUCGAAUAUUUCUUGCACAUCUAUUUAACUUGUAUGACUUGGCAGGACAAGCUAAAUGAAUUGGCUAGCCUAAAAUCUUGAAUAAGCACGAUUUGUCAUUUUGUGAACUAAUCUAUAUCUAGCUCUUAAUGAACAAAUAUUUAGGAGUUGAAAAGCAUCCAUUAAGUGCCUAAUGUUAUGAACAUUUGUUGGAAAUAUUGGCACACAUAUGACAAACGCACUAUUGAAUUUACUCUUCCAAGUUAGACAAUAUUAGUACUGCAUUAUUUUAGCAUCAUUGUCUGUUAUUUUUUGUCACUAAAUUGAUCUAUGCUUUUUUGUGUACCAUCUUAUAUUGGCACCUGAUUAUUUUGAACUUUCUAUAGUUUGAAGCAAAAAUUGCUAUAUUGAAAUCCUUCCUAAGGAAAAAAUCCAUCCAGAUGCAUGCAUAGUGUAUUCUUUAAUCUUGUUUUUACAUUUCUUCUUCUUCUUCAAUGCUAUUUUUUUUUCUCUUACGAUUUUUAUGACGUUCGACUGAAGAAGGAAAAAAAAUGAAAGGUGUAGAAAUCCCAAGAAUCAUGGGAUUAAAUGUGUUGUAUACCUUAUUUGAUUCAGGCAAGUUUAUUUUUCAUUUUUCAGGAGAUUAUAUUCCUUCUUUAUACCACAUUCUUGUAUUAUAAAUAGGAUCCCAUAAUAGUGUCUCAAUCAUCAAUAAAUAAAACAGAAAUUUCCUAACUGCUCUAUUUACAUGGUAUCGAUUUGAACUUUGACGAGGAAUGGGGCUGUGCAGAUAACGGCGUUCAGUAUAGGAGGAAGCUAGAACAUGAACAGGUUUAUGAAUUUGUGGCUGGACUCAAUAACGACCUUGACGAUGUGAGGGGAAGGAUCCUCCAUCGCUACCCUCUGUCGUCGAUGCGAGAGGUGUUUUUGGAGGUGCGGAGAGAAGAAAACUGGCGACUCAUGACGCUUAAGGAUAAGAUAAUUGGGCUAGAAGACGCUUAAGCCCUUUUGUCUAAUGAAAUUGGGCCUAAUGGGUUAGCUCAAUUUAAACAAAGUGGUAUUCAAGAAAUGGGCCAGCUUCAUGGGUCUACAGCAAUUGGAUCAAAGUAAUUGGGCCUUAAUGGAUCUGCUUUAAUAUCUAGAGGACCAAUUGUAAAUAAGCGAAGCCCAAAACGACAAAGAGAACGUCCAUGGGUGACCAUUGUCGUAAAUCGGGGCACAAAGAAGAUAAUUGUUGGGAUAUACACAAAACCAAUUGAUAGAAAAUCAAGACAAAACACAAAAAAUUGUGACUGUCAAGCAUCGGUUGAUUCUACUGAGAUAAAAAAUAACUCCACUUCAAGCGGUGUGCUUAAUGCAGAGCAAUUGGAACAACUCUACAAAAUGUUCUCUAGACUCCGAACUUCUGGACCAUUAAGUUCUCUAGCCCGCAAAGAUAAUUUUUUUUAGAGUACUAAAUACCAUUGCACAGUCUGAUUCUCCUUGGAUUAUUGACUCCGAAGCAUCCGACCACAUGACAUACUAUUUCCUCCUUUUUUCAUCAUAUUCAUUGUGUGCUAACAAUAUUAUAGUGAAAAUUGCAUAUAACUUAUUUUCAACGAUGGAGGGAAAAUGGAGUAUUCGAAUUUCUAACUAUAUAACAUUAGAGUACGUUUUUCAUGUUCCAAAUCUAUUCUGCAAUUUAUUGUAAAUUAGCAGGUUAACAAAAAGCUCCAAUUUUUGCUAUAUUCCUCCAUUCUCGUUGGUUUUUCAAGAUCUAUUUUUGGGAAAGACGAUUGGUAGUGUUAAAGAGUGUGAGGGACUCUACUACUUUGAUGAAGUCAAUGUGAGUAAACAUUAUCAAAUUUCAAAUUGUGGUUUUGCAUUUGUCCCCAAGGAUAACGAAAUUAUGCUAUGGGAUUUUAGAAUUGCUCAUUUUAACUUUCAGCACCUAAAAUGUGUUUAUCCUUCCAUUUUCAUAUAAAACGUCUAUUGAUCUUAAAUUUAUGAGUUGGCAAAACAUCAACAUUUCCCGUUCCCAAGAUCUACGUACAAACCAUACAAACCAUUCAUUGUAAUCUAUAGUGAUCUAUGGGGUCCUUUACGAACCACUAAUUGCACUUACAAAAAUUGGUUAGUGACAUUUAUUGACGACCAUACUCGCAUUUUUUUUGGUUUUAUGUACUAAAAGAAAAAAAUCGAAGUCGAAUCUAUAUUCAUCAACUUCCACUCUAUGGUGCAAACUCAAUACCAAACAAAUAUUCAAAUUCUAUGCAUUGAUAAUGGCACAAAAUACUUUAAUGCCACUCUCUGAGACUACCUUCAAGAACAUGAAAUAAUUUACCAAAGUUUUUGUGUUGACAUCCGCAACAAAAUGGGGUUUUUUCAAAUGAAGAAACAUGCACCUUCUAGAAGUUGGUCAUGUUUUGAUGUUUACCAUAAAUGUGCCCAAACUAUUCUGGGGAGGUGCCACUUUAACAUCCACUUAUCUCAUAAAUACGAUGCCUAGUCGUACUCCCUUGUUUGAUUCUCCUCUCAAAAAAAUUUAGAAUUACUUCCCUAAUUCGUGCCUCGAUUUUAACUUAUCUCUCAAAGUGUUUAUAUGUACUGCUUUUAUCCAUGUGUAUCCCCAUCGUCGAAGUAAACUCGAUCCACAUUCAUCUAAGUGUGUCUUUAUUUGAUAUUCACCAACUCAAAAAGAUUACAAAUGCUAUGAUCCGUCCACAAAAAAUGUGUUUGUCAGCCUUGAUAUCACAUUCUUUGAAAAGACAUCUGAUUUCAACAAACCCUCUCUUUAGGGAGAGAAUGUGAGUGAAGGUCGUUUUUUGGACUUUGAUCUCUCUUCUCUUUCUCAUUCGGAACCCGUCACACCAUCUAACAUGCCAUUUACAUAAGGAAAUUCGAAAUCAAAGGGAGACGUAGAAAAAAAAAAUGAUAAGGAGAUAUUAGUUUACUCAAAAAAGUCAAAAUCAAAGUACAAGGAGAAUCUCAUUCUUGAAGCACCAUGAGAGUUGGAACCAAUGGUAGCUCCAGAUGUCCAUAAGGACACGUUUGAGAGUGAUCUAUCUACCUUUGAGAGUGAUCUAUCACUUACCUUAAUAAAUAGACUCGAUCAUGUAUUGUGCACACUAUCUCAAAAUUCGCAUCUUAUAAUGCUUUGUCUACAAAAUUUCUUGCUUUUUCCUCUAACCUUGAUAGUAAAAAAUUCGCAUCUUCAAAAUUCGACUUCUCUUAUCUCUAACAGCUAACUUGGAUUGGCCCCUUCAACAACUUGACAUUAAAAAUUCAUCCAUCAAUGGGGAAUCUGAAGAGGAAAUCUUCAUGACAUUACCACUGAGUUUUUGUAGAAGAAAUGAAAAGAACAAGGUUUGUAAACUAAAAUAUUCUGUAUACGACCUUAAAUAGUUACCAAGAGCAUGGUUCGAUAGAUUUGCAAAAGUGUUGAAAUGUUAAGGAUAUCAAUAAGGACAAUCAGGUCAUACUAUAUUCUUCCAAAUAUCUGAAGAUGGCAAGAAGACAAUUUUAAUUGUAUAUGUCGAUGACAUAAUUCUAAUUGGAGACAAUACAGUGGAAAUGGAAAGAUUGAAGAUAAGCCUAGCUACAGGGUUCGAAGUGAAAGAUCUGGGACAAAUGUGAUACUUCUUGGGAAUGGAAUUUGCUAGGGGCUUGUUUGAGCCACAUUAUUUUAAAAAAAAAUACAUUUUUCAACAGUGAUUUGAUAUAAUUUUAACCAUACAUUCUUCAAUAAAAUAAUAGUACACGUAAAUUUAAAACAUUUCAUAAUUUUUGACCACAUAUUUUUUAUUGAUUUGACAUGAAUAAUGUAUUUUUCCUAGAAUGUGGCUCAAACAUGGGCUAGAUAAAAAAGAGAAUUAGUAUUUCUCAAAGGAAAUAUGUGCUUGAUGUCCUAAUUGAAAUUGGCAUGCUAGGAUGCAAACCAAGUGACACCUAUAAAUGGAGGAAGAAAAUUAUAGGACGGUGAAAAACCAGUUGAAAAGGAUCAUUAUCAAAGUCUAGUACAAACCAAACUUUGCAUUUGCAAUUAGUGUGGUAAUUCAACAUAUGUAUUCUCCAAAGGAAGCAUACUUAGAAGCAAUAUACAGAAUUCUUAGAUAUCUAAAAGGCUCUCCAGGAAAGGGACUCUUCUUCAAAAAGAGUGAAAGUGAUGAGGACAUCUACUUUUUAUUUAUAUUUAGUUGGAAUUUAUUUAUGUUUUAGAUUUUAUUUAUGUAAUUGGGCUUGUGUUGGCCCAAAUCCAUUCUAUUUAGGGUUUUAGUCUUUACUAUUUAAACCUAAUUGCGAUUUAAUUUCAUUAGUUUUGAUGAAUUGAAGAAUAUUUUGGUGGUUUGUUGCUUAUGGCUUCUCCUUCCUCUCCCCCAUGAAUUUCUGCUUCUUCUCCGGUUUCUCCUCCCAUUCUCUUCGGUUCUCCCAUCUUUCUUGCUUCUUUUUUUUAUUUUUUUAAUUCGUCAUGCAUCAAAUUUGGUUUUAGAGCCAAAUUUUGAGUAAUUUUUCAUCCACAAUCCAAAAGUUUCUUUCUAUCCUCUUCCCAAAAACUUGUGGAACAGUACAAACAAAAAAUAUUGUUGUGAGGCAGCAGUUAUCUUGUUCAAUUUUCUUUCUAGUUGAUUAGGAAAAAAGAGUCACUAUUCACGGGAGGAAUUUCAUUUUUUUUUUUUAGAUUUUUCAGCAGUUUCACAAAAAAAAAAAAAAUCUUUACUGUUCACGGGUACUGUUCACACCCGAAAUUUCAUUUUUUUAUUUAUCAUUUUCUACAGUUUCCAAAAAAAAAAAAAAAAAAAAAAAAAAAAAAAAUCAGUUUUAGAGUUUUAGGCAUUUGCUACUGCUAAGUGUGCUAUUUCAUAAAUUUUAUCCCUAACAAUCAAACCUUACUUACAUUCUGCCUACAUACAAGAUCAGUCCACCUUACGUUAACCCAACCCUAUAAUAAUCCAUAUAUCCACAUAUAAUUAUUACCCGCGAGCCCAUUCCUUUUAUCAAGACAUUUGGGCCAUAAACUAGUGGCCCAAAGUACUCCCAAUCUCGGUUAAAACUCACUCUCAUUUAAUCCAAUUCAAACCCACAACCCAUUUCUUCUCAGCCACUCGUCCAGAUUAACCCACAGUUACCAUAUGUUCCACGACCACCCUCACCGCCAAUCGCCAGCAACACACUGCCACGCCAGUUGUCAUCCACAACCCGGAGUUCAAUUUUUGCUUUAGUUUUCACGUCGAUGGACUUCUUCUGAGUUCAGAGUACCAAUGACAUUUGUUGAAUUGGAUUUGACCUAUUAUUUACAUUGGGGCAGCUAGUUAAAACUCUUGAGUAUUAGUGUUCCAUUCAGUGACUCGACUGUUUAGGAGUAUUUCAUUAUAAUUUUCUAUUGGAGACGUGCCAACUUGGAAAUCAUAAUUGAGCACAGUUCUUAUUCUUUGGGUUCCAUCAGGUUUAAACUUCCGUGGGCACCACCGCCACAACUAAACAAUAGGGAGUGCUAGAUUUCUAUUUGUCAUUGGUUUAUAAUACCGCUUCAUUUAAAAUUGCAUUGACUAAAUUUUUGUGAUGUUAUUAUUCUAACAAUAUACCUAAAGUCACGUGACUGAAUCCGUUGAUUUCGUCAAAACCUUAUUUUACCCCACUUAUAUUACAUGAUUAGAUUUUGACUAGUAUUUGAUUUAUGCUUUAUUAUUGUACAUAGAUCAGCAAUAUUAGCUUGCCAAAUUUGAAUUUACUUAUCCCUGAAAAAAAUGCUUAACUUGUUAUUUUUCACUGCUUGUAUUUAUUGUUUAUUGAUCUCAUCAUUGCACGUCAUUUAGUUGGUAUUACAUUGCAAGUAGUUGCGUAGUGGUCGUUUUGUUGUCUCUAUUUCCAAUACAUUGACCAUGUAUCCAUCCCAAUUUGAUGCACUCACUAGACAAUUAGCGCAACUUGCCACUAGCCUAUCGACUGUCCAAUCAGAUAUAACUGCUAAUCGUGAGAAGGGAAAGAACCUAGCUGCUAAGUUGAGCAAUUUUAAGCGAACCCCUCGUUUGACUGACACUAAUUUUGAAGCAUCUCAUAAUAGACAAUAUUAUCGCGGACAAAGGGAUCAAAAAUAUUUUCGAUUCGAUCGUAGGAAUAGAGAUCAGGUUUGUAAGCGAGAAUAAGGCCAUAGUUAUCAUGGUACUCAUUCUCUUCCUCGUCGUAAGGAGCGUUUCUUUAGAGACAUUGACUUGGAUACUCCUACUUUCGAUAGUUGCUUAGAUUAUGAAAUUUUUACCCAAUGGAACACCCUUACACAAUGGAAUCGACUAGUAACUGAGUACAUUGCUCAAUUUGAGAAAUUUCGAAUGAAAUGUCAUGUCGUUGAAGAUGAGGCCCUGACUUUGAGUAGGUUUAUACAAGGUCUAAGAGAUGAACUUAGCCGUGAGCUUUUCUUUCGAGGCGUCGUAGUCACUUGAUCAUGCUUACUCUUCAGCUCGAGACUACGAGUUAUUUAUUAGUACUUCAUAUGAAAAGCGCGACCAGCAUCGUUCUCCUAUGUCAUUAGCGCCACCUCAACAUGAGUCUGUCAUAGAGCCUUCCCCGUCUAGUGUUCCUCCUAUUUGGAAAAAUAAGUGUAAAUGUCGUGAUAGUCCAAGGCCCCAUUCUCCUUAUAGAAGGCGUAUUGACAAUCAUUCGUCUGUUUCAUUGGCUCCACUUCCUCCCGUUAAGUCUCUUCUAGAACCUCCCCCGUCUAAUGUUCUUCAAAUCUUGGAAAAUAGGAGUAAAAUUUUUGAAAUUCCAAGAACUUCUUCUCACCUGCUAUGCAUUAGCUGUAAGGACUUUGGCCACAUCUCUUCCAACUGUCCUAGUUGAGCCUUAGUCAUAGAAGAACGAAAGGAUGUAAUAGAAGAGUCGGUAAAAGAUCAAAUUUAUGAACCUAAAUUUGAAGAAUGUGAUAACUUGAAUGAUAUUGAGGACACUUCCUUAUGUAGUAUCAGGACUUUUCCUAUGAAUCUAGGGGUUGUACCCCUUUUUCCCGAUACCUCUCAGUUAAAUGUUGUGUGUCAUACUCUUUGCCAACCCAAAGGUACGGAUGAUUUGUGUAAUCAUGUCCUUUUCAAGGAAAAUCUUGAGAAUUGGGAUUUGAUCCUCCCAACAAUUCAAAUUGCAUAUAACAAUUUUGUGCAUCGGUUUAUAGGUACGAGUUCCAUCGAAGUUAUUCAUGGUUAUAAGUCUAGGAAACCUUUAGACCUUAUUCCCAUGUCUCCACAUACUAGUAUGUCUAUGUCAGCUGAGGUAUUUGUACGUCAUCUUCAUGACUUGCAUAUUGAGAUCAAUAAACAACAUGACGCAAAUAAUGCAUUAUAUAAAUUUCAAGCUGAUUCGUAUAAACGAUAUUUUGAAUUUAAUAUUGGGGAUUAUGUCAUAUUGCAAGUUUGUAGUGCUGGUCCUUUAAAAAUAUUAAAGCAUGUUGGCUUAGAUGCACAUGUCAUUGCCCUUUCCUCACAUUUUAGCUACCACGCUACUUCAAGCUACCACUCUACUUUAAAUAUUGAGGACUUCAUUACUUACAAACACCGUUUUACUUCCUUUGAUGAUUUAUUUCUACUUAACUUUAUGGACCCCCAACUUGAUUAUGUUGAUAUUUCUACUUUAAAACCAUCUAUCACAGCACACAAAGAUAAAAUUGAUGUUAUUUUAGAUGAAUGUGUUGUAUUGACCAAUGAUGGCAAGAUUCAGUACUUCCUUGUUUGUUGGGUAGAUCAACGUACUUCUUAUGCUCCUCAUUAUAUGCAAUCAUGUGAAAAUCUUGAAGAUGAGGUGCAUGAGUAUUGGUUAUUUGGAGUCCAGUAUUAGUACCUGGUUAGAAGGAAAAAUCGCCCUCCUUGGUCAGAUCAUAUUCUUGGGAAUAAGUUACAGUUUUCAGUAGUAUCAAUCAUGGAAUUUCGUUACUUGGUUCGUCAGAAAGAUCGUCCCCCGUGGCUUGGCUUGACGCAUUUGGAGUAUCAGAUUGAUUGCAGCCUAUACUAUCUAUCAACUCGACAGGGUCGAGUUUUUCUCCCUCCCCGAGAGAGUUGAUGAGGACAUCUACUUUUUAUUUAUUUUUAGUUGGACUUUAUCUAUGUUUUAGAUUUUAUUUAUGUAAUUGGGCUUGUGUUGGCCCAAGUCUAUUCUAUUUAGGGUUUUAGUCUUUACUAUUUAAACCUAAUUGCGAUGUAAUUUCAUUAGUUUUGAUGAAUUGAAGAAUAUUUCGGUGGUUUGUUGCCUAUGGCUUAUUCUUCCUUUCCCUCCCCCUCUCCCCCAUGAAUUUCUGCUUCUUCUCCGGUUUCUCCCCCCAUUCUCUCUGGUUCUCCCCUCUUUCUUGCUUCUUCUUUCUAUUUUUUUAAUUCGUCCUGCAUCAGAAAGUAAGGAGGUGGAAGUAUUCACCGAUGCUAAUUUAGCAGGAUCAAUUGAAGAUAGGAGAUCGACUACUAAUUAUUGUACCUUUGUAUGGAGAAAUUUGAUGACUUGGAGAAGAAAAAAAAGAAUGCAGUGGCCAGAAGUAGUGUUAAAACCAAGUUUAGAGCAGUAUCAGGGAUUUGUGAGGGCUAUGAUUUAAAAGAACUCUUGGGAGAACUACAGGCUAUAGUGAAAUUCCCUAUCAAACUCUAUUGUAAUAAUAAAGUAGCUAUCAAUAUCUCUCAAUCCAGUUCAACAUAAUCGAACUAAAUAUUUAGAAGUGAACAAACAUUUUAUCAAAGAAAAGGUUGAAAAUGGAAUUGUAUGCAUGACUUAUGUUCCUACUACAGAGCAAACUGUAGUAUCUUCACCAAAGGAUUACCACGACGAAAUUUUGAUAACUUUAUCUUCAAGUUGGAUAUGGCUAAUAUUUAUGAUCUAACUUGAGGAGAGUGUAAAAACCCCAAGAAUCAUUGGAUUAAAAUGUAGGAUUUAGGUCAUUGAUUGUAUACCUUAUUUGAUUCACUCAUAGUUAAGGCAAGUUUAUUUUUCUUGUUUUAGGAGAUUAUAUUCCUUCUUUAUACCACAUUCUUGUAUUAUAAAUAGGAUCCCAUAGUAUUAUCGAUCAAUAAAGCAGAAAUUUCCUAACUGCCCUGUUUACAAAAGGAAAAGGCUACGAUCGAGCAGUUUUUAAUCAUUCAGAACCCUCGUAUUUCUACAAAUGUUCUUCGACCCUUGUCCUCUUUUUGACACAAAAAAUUAAGAGCAAACCUUAAAGGCGAUAACAUGAAAAAUAAUCUCAAAAUAUAAAUAUCACUAAAAAUAAACUUAGUUUUCUCGAUGUUUUCAUUUGCCUUUUGUGGACUGGAAGUUUGGAAGUUGCACUUCAUUAUUUCUAUUGACAUUUUUGUGUCCCCUUGUGUUUUGAAAAGUCAUGGCUGAG
This 14376-nucleotide long non-coding RNA is filed under the name Olea europaea subsp. europaea. The record is from RNAcentral. Lineage: Eukaryota; Viridiplantae; Streptophyta; Magnoliopsida; Lamiales; Oleaceae.